Molecule: ribosomal RNA, 751 nt
Filed under: Rubripirellula sp.
Lineage: Bacteria; Pseudomonadati; Planctomycetota; Planctomycetia; Pirellulales; Pirellulaceae
Description: partial 23S ribosomal RNA
Rfam family: Bacterial large subunit ribosomal RNA
Source: RNAcentral
GGCCAAUCUACGAAGGGCACAUGGGGGAUGCCUUGGCGUUAAGAGAAUGAAGGGCGUGGAAGUCUGCGAAAAGCCCGGGGAAGUUGACAAACAAGUAAUGAUCCCGGGAUUCCCAACUGCGACCAGCUGAAUUCAUAGGCUGGUUCGUAACAACCUGGUGAACUGAAACAUCUAAGUAACCAGAGGAAGAGAAAGAAAAAUCGAUUCCGUCAGUAGCGGCGAGCGAAAUCGGAAGAGCCCAAACCGUGGAGAUUUUCUUCGCGGGGUUGUAGGACUCCAAUGUUGGAUUGUGUGUGGUUAGUGGAAGAUUCAGGAAAGGAUCGCCACAGAGGGUGACAGUCCCGUACACGAAAGCAAGCACACACCAUAGGAGCACCUGAGUAGGUCCAGUCACGUGAAACCUGGACUGAAUCCACGGGGACCAUCCCGUAAGGCUAAAUACUCCUUAACGACCGAUAGUGCACCAGUAGCGUGAGUGAAGGGUGAGAAGAACCCCUGUUAGGGGAGGAAUGUGAACCUGAAACCAUGUGCCUACAAGCGGUCGGAGCCCUAUGUCGAAGCUUGCUUCGAAAUGGGUGACGGCGUGCCUUUUGCAUAAUGAUCCGGCGAGUUGUGGUAAACGGCUUGGUUAAGUCCUUCCGGGACGUAGCCCAAGGGAAACCGAGUCUGAAUAGGGCGUCAUUGUCGUUUGCUGCAGACGCGAAACCUGUGUGAUCUACCCAUGAGCAGGUUGAAGCGCGGGUUAAACUGC